GAUGAACGCUGGCGGCGUGCCUAAUACAUGCAAGUCGAGCGGUAAGGCUUUACACAGUUUGUUUAAACGGCAAAGACAGGUCGCGAUUACGAAGUAAUCGUUUCUUAUACGAAGAAUAAACGCUUCGGUCUAAACCACUCUUUAUCUGGCUAGAUAAACGAGUUUGAACAAAGUGUGUAGAGUACACGAGCGGCGGACGGCUGAGUAAUGCAUUGGAACGUACCCCAAACCUGAGGGAUAAUCCACCGAAAGGUGGACUAAUACCGCAUGUGCCAUUCGUGGUAAAGCUACGGCGGUUUGGGAGCGGCCAAUGUUCGAUUAGCUAGUUGGUGAGGUAAUAGCUCACCAAGGCUACGAUCGAUAGCGGGUCUGAGAGGAUGGAUCCGCCAGACUGGAACUGAGACACGGUCCAGACUCCUACGGGAGGCGAGCAGUA
RNAcentral lists this ribosomal RNA (436 nucleotides) under uncultured bacterium. RNAcentral's name for it is "bacterial SSU rRNA". It matches the Rfam family "Bacterial small subunit ribosomal RNA", at positions 28 to 356 of the family's 1533-position model. The record is from RNAcentral.